Molecule: ribosomal RNA, 441 nt
Filed under: uncultured bacterium
Lineage: Bacteria
Description: partial 16S ribosomal RNA
Rfam family: Bacterial small subunit ribosomal RNA
Source: RNAcentral
CCUACGUGAGGCAGCAGUGGGGAAUAUUGCACAAUGGGGGAAACCCUGAUGCAGCGACGCCGCGUGAGUGAAGAAGUAUUUCGGUAUGUAAAGCUCUAUCAGCAGGGAAGAAGAAAGACGGUACCUGACUAAGAAGCCCCGGCUAACUACGUGCCAGCAGCCGCGGUAAUACGUAGGGGGCAAGCGUUAUCCGGAUGUACUGGGUGUAAGGGGAGCGUAGACGGCUGUGCAAGUCUGAAGUGAAAGCCCAGGGCUCAACCCUGGGACUGCUUUGGAAACUGUGGAGCGAGAGGGCUGGAGAGGUAAGUGGAAGUCCUAGUGUAGCGGUGAAAUGCGUAGAUAUUAGGAGGAACACCAGUGGCGAAGGCGGCUUACUGGACAGUAACUGACGUUGAGGCUCGAAAGCGUGGGGAGCAAACAGGAUUAGAUACCCGAGUAGUC